GACGAACGCUGGCGGCGUGCUUAACACAUGCAAGUCGAACGGAAAGGCCCUGCUUUUGUGGGGUGCUCGAGUGGCGAACGGGUGAGUAACACGUGAGUAACCUGCCCUUGACUUUGGGAUAACUUCAGGAAACUGGGGCUAAUACCGGAUAGGAGCUCCUGCUGCAUGGUGGGGGUUGGAAAGUUUCGGCGGUUGGGGAUGGACUCGCGUCUUAUCAGAUUGUUGGUGGGGUAGUGGCUUACCAAGGCUUUGACGGGUAGCCGGCCUGAGAGGGUGACCGGCCACAUUGGGACUGAGCUACGGCCCAGACUCCUACGGGAGGCAGCAGUGGGGAAUAGUGCACAAUGGGCGGAAGCCUGAUGCAGCACCGCCGCGUGCGGGAUGACGGCCUUCGGGUUGUAAACCGCUUUCGCCUGUGACGAAGCGUGAGUGACGGUAAUGGGUAAAGAAGCACCGGCUAACUACGUG
Molecule: ribosomal RNA, 468 nt
Filed under: uncultured bacterium
Lineage: Bacteria
Description: partial 16S ribosomal RNA
Rfam family: Bacterial small subunit ribosomal RNA
Source: RNAcentral